This 510-nucleotide ribosomal RNA is filed under the name uncultured bacterium. Its description in RNAcentral is "partial 16S ribosomal RNA". It matches the Rfam family "Bacterial small subunit ribosomal RNA", at positions 28 to 507 of the family's 1533-position model. The record is from RNAcentral.
GACGAACGCUGGCGGCGUGCUUAACACAUGCAAGUCGAACGAAGAGCGAUGGAAGCUUGCUUCUAUCAAUCUUAGUGGCGAACGGGUGAGUAACGCGUAAUCAACCUGCCCUUCAGAGGGGGACAACAGUUGGAAACGACUGCUAAUACCGCAUACGAUCUAAUCUCGGCAUCGAGGAUAGAUGAAAGGUGGCCUCUACAUGUAAGCUAUCGCUGAAGGAGGGGAUUGCGUCUGAUUAGCUAGUUGGAGGGGUAACGGCCCACCAAGGCGAGGAUCAGUAGCCGGCCUGAGAGGAUGAACGGACACAUUGGGACUGAGACACGGCCCAGACUCCUGCGGGAGGCAGCAGUGGGGAAUCUUCCGCAAUGGAAGAAAGUCUGACGGAGCAACGCCGCGUGAGAGAUGACGGCCUUCGGGUUGUAAAGCUCUGUUAAUCGGGACGAAAGGCCUUCUUGCGAACAGUUAGAAGGAUUGACGGUACCGGAAGAGAAAGCCACGGCUAACUACGUG